Molecule: ribosomal RNA, 253 nt
Filed under: uncultured bacterium
Lineage: Bacteria
Description: partial 16S ribosomal RNA
Rfam family: Bacterial small subunit ribosomal RNA
Source: RNAcentral
UACGUAGGUCGCAAGCGUUGUCCGGAUUUACUGGGCGUAAAGAGCGCGCAGGCGGCUGGUCAAGUCCGAUGUGAAAUCUCCCGGCUCAACUGGGAAACAGCAUCGGAAACUGAUCGGCUUGAAGAUGGGAGAGGGUAGUGGAAUUCCCGGUGUAGUGGUGAAAUGCGUAGAUAUCGGGAGGAACACCAGUGGCGAAGGCGACUACCUGGCCCAUUCUUGACGCUGAGGCGCGAAAGCUAGGGGAGCGAACGGG